UGGAUUUGAACAGCAAUCCUAGAUCACACCUAUAUGAAGCCUUGCUGCAUCUCUAACUUCCUGCCUCGUCAUCCCACUGUGGCCACCCUAACCUAAUGGAGAAGAUUACUGGGCCACUCUCUGCAGGUUAACUCUGGUUGGCCAGUCAAAAGACACACGCUACCAUAACAGAACACUUAAUUAACAUCAACUUGAGCAGCUUCACCCCGGAAAAGCAUUGGAGAAAGAUUCUAAUAAAGAUUGCCAUAUUGCCCUUUCUCAAGAUGAGACAGUUGGGAUGGAACUUGAACGGGGUUCAUUUGAAAAAGUUGGAGAAUCCAACCUGCUGCUGUGGGAAUAGUGCCUCACGUUCCACUGAACGCUGGGGAAGGAAGUUACAUAGUUUUUUUACGAGUAGUAGGGGUAUGCUUUAUCUAUCUUAUUGGCUUAAGCAUCCUAUUAUUCUUUAUUUUUAUCCAAUUAUAAUCAGAUUUUCAACAUUAGCACAAGAGCAGAUAGGAUGGAGACGAGUCUCAACAAGCAGGGCAGGAGAGAUUACCUGCUCCGAUAACAACUGAAACUUUUCCUAUUCGUGUAGCCAGGAGGAAUGCAAAGAUGCCCCGUUCACUUGAAUAGGAACUGGAAAGACUUAAGAUACGAAUUAGAAUAAGCAGUACUUUCUAUCCUUCGGACCCUUGCUUUAGGGGAUAUCACUGCCCGAGAAGAUCAUCUGCAAUGACAUUUGAAUAAUCCAAGGGCAACUACAGGCUCUAAGCCUAUCUGCUGUUGAAUAACCAACCGGUGCCAGUCUUUUCUGUUACAGUAAGAGCUGUUGAGUAAAUAGAAGCUCUGGUCCUAUCCGCUGCUGGUGGUGAAGUCAGUGAAUCAGUCCCAAAGCUUUCUUCCUUCAAAGAAGAAGUUUUGUCAUUACGAACUAAGACCGAAGGCAGGAUUAGAUUGAGCAGUAUAAAGGUUACUUUCUUGGCACCGGGGAUUGCCAUUUACAUUUAACUCCUUUUGGUAAGGCAAGGCAACCCUUUAUUAGAUUAGGACCGCUUCUCCGAUGAGAUGAUAGAUGCCUUUGGCCGAUUCCCUUGUCAUCUCGCCCUCCCCGCUCAAACUCAAAGUCUGUCUUAAAAUAGAGGGAGAGGGAGCCCCAGAGCUCUUCCCUUUGGGACACGUGAACUCCACUCUUGGCAACUGCCCUCUGCUGUAGCAAAAGUACCUUA
RNAcentral lists this long non-coding RNA (1208 nucleotides) under Cicer arietinum (chickpea). Its description in RNAcentral is "long non-coding RNA (CARI_LNC003778)". Lineage: Eukaryota; Viridiplantae; Streptophyta; Magnoliopsida; Fabales; Fabaceae. The record is from RNAcentral.